UCAUUCCUCAGUAGGCUCUGAAAGGAUAAUUCAAACAAGAUUUGUUUAGUUUUGCUUCAUACUUCUUCAGCACAAUAAUAUGCCUUUUUACUAGAUUAGCAAGCAUUCCUUGCUCUUCUGGUAUUAAUAACAUUCCCUAUUCAAUUCCAGUUAUCUCUGUCAAUCUCCAGCUUUUUGAUCGCACUCAGAGACUUUUUCAUAAUUCCUGGCGGGGCACUGCUUUCAAUUCCCUCCCCAUGGAAGUUAUACUGUGCGCAUAGGAUUCUGUGACACAAAAUAUAGAUGUUAACACUUUUAUCUGCACUGUAGAUAAAACUGCAGAUCUGACAAGAUCAGGUAUAAUAACUAUAAAAUUUUUUAAAUUGCUUAUCAUUGUUUACAAAAGGAAGUGUGUGCUUACAGGAUUCAUAAUUCACAUUACAUGAGAAGGACAUACAAAGUGGAUGCAGUGUGAAAUAAUCAGGUUUUAUUCCUUUAUGCUUAAUAAAUAUGUUUUAGAAAUACUUUGACUUUUAAGUAGGCCAUUUUGUAUACUGUGUUUAGGAGAAAUGAAUGAAAAUCAAAAGGUGGCAUCUCUGCAUCUCUGAAGUUCUGAGGGGAAAUGAUAUGGAGAACACUCUUCUAGCUUGGUUUUUGUGAAAACCUUGAAGAUGAAGAUCUAACUUGAGACAGCCACUCUGAAAACCCAGAAAGACUUCUGAUGGAAGUGUUAAAGAAAAAAACCUCAGUCUCCUUUUCCAAGCCUGCCGGCCUUUCUGGGCAGCCUGCCCACAGUAGAGGAUCCUUGUUUAUCCCAAGGAGGGCAAAACAGAGCAAAGAGAGGAGUCUUGUCUAACAUCCUCAGCUUUCCGGGGCAGCCGCAGG
RNAcentral lists this long non-coding RNA (864 nucleotides) under Zonotrichia albicollis (white-throated sparrow). RNAcentral describes it as "lncRNA (ENSZALG00000010706.1)". The record is from RNAcentral. Lineage: Eukaryota; Metazoa; Chordata; Aves; Passeriformes; Passerellidae.